RNAcentral lists this ribosomal RNA (469 nucleotides) under uncultured bacterium. RNAcentral's name for it is "bacterial SSU rRNA". It matches the Rfam family "Bacterial small subunit ribosomal RNA", at positions 328 to 794 of the family's 1533-position model. The record is from RNAcentral.
UUGCCAGACUCCUACGGGAGGCAGCAGUGAGGAAUAUUGGUCAAUGGCCGGAAGGCUGAACCAGCCAAGCCGCGUGAGGGAGGAAGGCGCAGAGCGUCGCAGACCUCUUUUGCCGGGGGACAAAAGGCCGGACUCGUCCGGUCCUGAGGGUACCCGGAGAAAAAGCAUCGGCUAACUACGUGCCAGCAGCCGCGGUAAUACGUAGGGAGCGAGCGUUGUCCGGAAUUACUGGGUGUAAAGGGAGCGUAGGCGGGACGGCAAGUCAGAUGUGAAAACUGAGGGCUCAACUUUCAGACUGCAUUUGAAACUGCUGUUCUUGAGUGAAGUAGAGGUAAGCGGAAUUCCUAGUGUAGCGGUGAAAUGCGUAGAUAUUAGGAGGAACAUCGGUGGCGAAGGCGGCUUACUGGGCUUUUACUGACGCUGAGGCUCGAAAGCGUGGGGAGCAAACAGGAUUAGAUACCCGAGUAGG